UUUCUAUUCACCCAAUCGUAUCAAUGGAGAGGGAGAUUCAAACUCAUUUCUGACCUUAUUUGGUCAACUUGUACCUUCCCUCUUCCACCUCUUCCACUGGGAUUGGCAGAUGAGUCAUAUUGACAGGAUCGUUCAUAGCAUAUCCUUCCUCAGAACUCCGGAUCUGGAUUUUACAAUUAUCAGUAGUUUAAUCAUUGUUUCCUCUCUCAAGGCGUCGUUUAUGGCUUAUCUAUCACAAAAUCAUUUCCUUUCCCCAUCUACCCAGAAAAGGUUACUUAAGGUUAAAUUUUCCCAAUUGAAUUUGUUAGUUCUUUUACGAUUUAAAGUAUAAUUAUUAAGUUUAACAAACUUUCAAAAGCAAU
RNAcentral lists this long non-coding RNA (362 nucleotides) under Androctonus crassicauda. The record is from RNAcentral. Lineage: Eukaryota; Metazoa; Arthropoda; Arachnida; Scorpiones; Buthidae.